AGGAUUAACGCUGGCGGCGUGCCUAACACAUGCAAGUCGAACGAGGUAGCAAUACCUAGUGGCAGACGGGUGAGUAACGCGUGGUCAACCUACCGUUGAGUGGGGGAUAACUAGCCGAAAGGUUAGCUAAUACCGCAUACGAGUCUCGGGGGCAUCCCUGAGCCUUAAAAGGAGCAAUCCGCUCGAUGACGGGACCGCGUCCCAUUAGCUAGAUGGUGGGGUAACGGCCUACCAUGGCACCGAUGGGUAGCUGGUUUGAGAGAGCGACCAGCCACACUGGGACUGAGAAACGGCCCAGACUCCUACGGGAGGCAGCAGUGGGGAAUCUUGCGCAAUGGCCGAAAGGCUGACGCAGCGACGCCGCGUGGGGGAGGAAGGCCUUCGGGUUGUAAACCCUGUUGCCCGGGACGAAUGUGCACUUUUGAGUGCAUUGACGGUACCGGGUGAGGAAGCACCGGCUAACUCCGCGCCAGCAGCCGCGGUAA
This 485-nucleotide ribosomal RNA is filed under the name uncultured bacterium. Its description in RNAcentral is "SSU rRNA". It matches the Rfam family "Bacterial small subunit ribosomal RNA", at positions 26 to 523 of the family's 1533-position model. The record is from RNAcentral.